GACGAACGUUGGCGGCGUGCUUAAUACAUGCAAGUCAACUGAAGCACCGGUAGUAAUACUGGUGUGGAGGUGGCGCACGGGUGAGUAACACGUAGGUAAUCUGCCUUCAGGUCUGACAUAACCCCGAGAAAUCGGGGCUAAUAGCAGAUGAUGCAGCGGCUUGACAUCAAGACAGUUGUUAAAGCUUCGGCGCCUGAAGAUGAGCCUGCGUCUGAUUAGCUAGUUGGCGGAGUAAUGGCCCACCAAGGCUACGAUCAGUAACUGGUCUGAGAGGAUGAUCAGUCACACUGGAACUGAGACACGGUCCAGACUCCUACGGGAGGCAGCAGUAAGGAAUAUUGCUCAAUGGGAGAAAUCCUGAAGCAGCAACGCCGCGUGAGGGAUGAAGGGCUUUUGCUCGUAAACCUCUGUAGUGAGGGAAAAAUUUCCACUCUGUGGAAUAUGAUGGUACCUCAAAAGU
This 460-nucleotide ribosomal RNA is filed under the name uncultured bacterium. RNAcentral describes it as "bacterial SSU rRNA". It matches the Rfam family "Bacterial small subunit ribosomal RNA", at positions 28 to 487 of the family's 1533-position model. The record is from RNAcentral.